UCUUGCGACCGUACUCCCCAGGCGGCGAACUUAACGCGUUAGCUUCGAUACUGGGUGCCAAGUUGCACCCAACAUCCAGUUCGCAUCGUUUAGGGCGUGGACUACCAGGGUAUCUAAUCCUGUUUGCUCCCCACGCUUUCGUGCCUCAGUGUCAGUGUUGGCCCAGGAUGCCGCCUUCGCCACGGAUGUUCCUUCUGAUCUCUACGCAUUUCACUGCUACACCAGAAAUUCCGCAUCCCUCUACCACACUCUAGUAAUCCAGUAUCCACUGCAAUUCCCAGGUUGAGCCCAGGGCUUUCACAGCAGACUUAAACCACCACCUACGCACGCUUUACGCCCAGUAAUUCCGAGUAACGCUUGCACCCUUCGUAUUACCGCGGCUGCUGGCACGAAGUUAGCCGGUGCUUAUUCUUUGGGUACCGUCAUCCCCACCGAGUAUUAAUCGACAGGAUUUCUUUCCCAACAAAAGGGCUUUACAACCCGAAGGCCUACUUCACCCACGCGGUAUGGCUGGAUCAGGCUUGCGCCCAUUGUCCAAUAUUCCCCACUGCUGCCUCCCGUA
Molecule: ribosomal RNA, 562 nt
Filed under: uncultured Gammaproteobacteria bacterium
Lineage: Bacteria; Pseudomonadati; Pseudomonadota; Gammaproteobacteria
Description: partial 16S ribosomal RNA
Source: RNAcentral